This 254-nucleotide ribosomal RNA is filed under the name uncultured bacterium. RNAcentral describes it as "partial 16S ribosomal RNA". It matches the Rfam family "Bacterial small subunit ribosomal RNA", at positions 524 to 777 of the family's 1533-position model. The record is from RNAcentral.
UACGGGGGGGGCAAGCGUUGUUCGGAAUUACUGGGCGUAAAGGGCGUGUAGGCGGCCAACUAAGUCCGACGUGAAAUCCCCAGGCUUAACCUGGGAACUGCGUCGGAUACUGGAUGGCUUGAAUCCGGGAGAGGGAUGCGGAAUUCCAGGUGUAGCGGUGAAAUGCGUAGAUAUCUGGAGGAACACCGGUGGCGAAGGCGGCAUCCUGGACCGGCAUUGACGCUAAAGCGCGAAAGCCAGGGGAGCAAACGGGG